RNAcentral lists this ribosomal RNA (469 nucleotides) under uncultured bacterium. RNAcentral describes it as "bacterial SSU rRNA". It matches the Rfam family "Bacterial small subunit ribosomal RNA", at positions 28 to 507 of the family's 1533-position model. The record is from RNAcentral.
GAUGAACGCUAGCUACAGGCUUAACACAUGCAAGUCGAGGGGCAGCAUGAACUUAGCUUGCUAAGUUUGAUGGCGACCGGCGCACGGGUGAGUAACACGUAUCCAACCUGCCGAUGACUCGGGGAUAGCCUUUCGAAAGAAAGAUUAAUACCCGAUGGCAUAAUUCUUCCGCAUGGUAGAACUAUUAAAGAAUUUCGGUCAUCGAUGGGGAUGCGUUCCAUUAGGUUGUUGGCGGGGUAACGGCCCACCAAGCCUUCGAUGGAUAGGGGUUCUGAGAGGAAGGUCCCCCACAUUGGAACUGAGACACGGCCCAGACUCCUACGGAGGCAGCAGUGGGGAAUAUUGCACAAUGGGGGAAACCCUGAUGCAGCGACGCCGCGUGGAGGAAGAAGGUCUUCGGAUUGUAAACUCCUGUUGUUGGGGAAGAUAAUCGACGGUACCCAACAAGGAAGUGACGGCUAACUACGUG